GACGAACGCUGGCGGCGUGCUUAACACAUGCAAGUCGAACGGAAAGGCCCUGCUUUUGUGGGGUGCUCGAGUGGCGAACGGGUGAGUAACACGUGAGUAACCUGCCCUUGACUUUGGGAUAACUUCAGGAAACUGGGGCUAAUACCGGAUAGGAGCUCCUGCUGCAUGGUGGGGGUUGGAAAGUUUCGGCGGUUGGGGAUGGACUCGCGGCUUAUCAGCUUGUUGGUGGGGUAGUGGCUUACCAAGGCUUUGACGGGUAGCCGGCCUGAGAGGGUGACCGGCCACAUUGGGACUGAGAUACGGCCCAGACUCGUACGGGAGGCAGCAGUGGGGAAUAUUGCACAAUGGGCGGAAGCCUGAUGCAGCAACGCCGCGUGCGGGAUGACGGCCUUCGGGUUGUAAACCGCUUUCGCCUGUGACGAAGCGUGAGUGACGGUAAUGGGUGAAGAAGCACCGGCUAACUACGUG
RNAcentral lists this ribosomal RNA (468 nucleotides) under uncultured bacterium. Its description in RNAcentral is "partial 16S ribosomal RNA". It matches the Rfam family "Bacterial small subunit ribosomal RNA", at positions 28 to 507 of the family's 1533-position model. The record is from RNAcentral.